CAAUUGCAGCAGCUGUGGUACAGGACCCAGGGAUUUUCAGCUGAAGUCUAAAAGCAGUUGACAACUGUAUGAAUCUCAGAGCCAGGGUUCAGCUAUGACAAAUACAGCGGGCGACUCCGAGGGAUAGUAACACGCAGGCGCCUUUGAGCAAAGUUCAAGCAGCUCCUAAAUUAACCAGAGUGAAUCCCCAAAGAUGCAGUAUUUAUGCACUGAAGAAGGAAGGGAGGGCUCUCAUCUCACCACUCUCAUCAGCCAUCACAGCCCAGGAAGCAAGAGAGAGAAAAUAAGAGUUAUUUACCUCUUGCUAAUUGGGAGCUGGGCAGCUCAGCGUGCUCCCUAAAUGGGAGAGCCCAUCCUGCCACAGCCAUUCCCACUGCUGGGACACACGGAUCCACUGCCAGGAAUUGACUUUAAGUGCAGGGCCGCAAACUGGUGUUUCAUUCAUCACUGGAUCGUAUAGAAAGCCUGAGCUGAAUAAAACCUUCUGAAAGAAGAUGAGGAGACACGCUCUGCCUUGUAGAUUAUUUCACAGCUACUGAAGCCAUUUGUUUCCUCUGCCUGUUUCCCACAAACUUGGAAAAUUAACCAUGUACCAGGAGGUGUGACUUUUACUUUUUGCCAAAUGGCAUGGAAAUAAAUU
Molecule: long non-coding RNA, 640 nt
Organism: Melospiza melodia melodia
Lineage: Eukaryota; Metazoa; Chordata; Aves; Passeriformes; Passerellidae
Exons: 4
Source: RefSeq, a predicted model, not a curated record